AUUGUUUGGGGGAUAACCCAUAUUAUUUGGCGCGCCUCCCAUGUAAUUUGGGGGUCCUCCCAUGUUGGGCUGCUGCUGCUGCACUCCUCUCAUAUUAGGUGGCGCACCUCCCAUGUAAUUUGGUGGUCCUCCCGGGUUGUUGGGCUGCUGCUGCAUCCCUCCCAUAUUAGGUGGCAUACCUCCCAUGUAAUUAGGUGGUCCUCCCAAGUUGGGCUGUUGCUGCAUUCCUCCCGGGUUGUUGGGCUGCUGCUGCAUUCCUCCCAUAUUAGGUGGCAUACCUCCCAUGUAAUUUGGAGGUCCUCCCACAUUGGGCUGUUGCUGCAUUCCUCCCGGGUUGUUGGGCGGCUGCUGCAUUCCUCCCAUAUUAGGCGGCAUACCUCCCGUGUAAUUUGGUGGUCCUCCCACAUUGGGCUGUUGCUGCAUUCCUCCCGGGUUGUUGGGUUGCUGCUGCAUUCCUCCCAUAUUAGGUGGAACACCCAUGUUUGGUGGGCUUCCCAUGUGACCAGCUGGACCACCCAUAUUGGCUCCAGAGUUCUGAUUAGACAUCUGCAUAUCUCUUCUUCUCUC
RNAcentral lists this long non-coding RNA (567 nucleotides) under Olea europaea (common olive). RNAcentral describes it as "long non-coding RNA (OEUR_LNC008061)". The record is from RNAcentral. Lineage: Eukaryota; Viridiplantae; Streptophyta; Magnoliopsida; Lamiales; Oleaceae.